Lutra lutra (Eurasian river otter) is the source of this 943-nucleotide long non-coding RNA. RefSeq lists it as uncharacterized. The transcript has 3 exons. NCBI's taxonomy places the organism in Eukaryota, Metazoa, Chordata, Mammalia, Carnivora, Mustelidae. The record is from RefSeq and is a predicted model, not a curated record.
UGCGCCGGCAGCGGAGCUAGAAGACAGAACAGCCUGGGCAAGAAGGUGGUCUCAGGGAGAAAAUUUGGGCUGGCCUCCCGGGAACCGGCCCAAAUGGAUAGUGAUCCUGGCUUGGGGAGGAAAGAGGACAAGGGCACCCAACCCAGAGCUAGCACAGGGAGAGAGAGGGAUGGAGGAAGGAAGGGAGAUGGAAGCAGAGAGAAACACAAUCAGACAGAAGUGGUCAGAAACAAAGGCUAAGAGACACAGAAAGCAUCACAGAGGCAGAGACAAGAUAGAGACAGUGCAGAGUGCAGGAGAAGAAAGUCAGAGACAAAGAUAGAGACCCAGGAUUGAAGAGAGGGAUAGACAGAAAAAAUGCUUAGGGAGCCUUCUGUCCAGAGACUCGUGGAGACAAGGACAGACAAGGGUGGGGGCAGGUGGGAGCUUCAGGGGCUCUAACGCCUCUAUCUAGGGCCUUCCUCCCAGGCAAGAGUCUCAGUCCAGGACCCCAAGGAGGCAGAGAAAUGGAGACUGGAAGAAAGAGGCUGGUGGGUUCCCCAGCCCUUCAGACACCCAGCCAGCCAGCCUGGGAUUCAGGCUUCUGGACCAGCCCAUAGAUCUGCUCUGCUGUGGACAACAGUGAGGGCAGAGAUGGCCCCAGGCCUCCCAGUCACAAGCUCCCCACAACCUUCCUUUGGGGCUUCAUUCCAAGAUUUAAAGGUCUCCCAUAUUCCUUCACUCAGAUUAUGAAGAAAAGAAGGCAGAGGCCACAGUUCCCUGGCAGUCCUUGGAAAAGGGAUGCUCUCAUAAUGAAGGAAGGGCCCUUCAUGACUCCUCUUCCUUCCCCACCUCUCCUCAUCAAGGUCACGUGCAGCUGGAAUUGUCCACCCCACCCCACACCCUACCCCCUGCCCCUGGCCCUUCUAAGAAGUCCUUCCUGCUAUCUAACUGUAACGCAUCA